UGGGGAAUUUUGGACAAUGGGCGAAAGCCUGAUCCAGCAAUGCCGCGUGUGUGAAGAAGGCCUUCGGGUUGUAAAGCACUUUUGUCCGGAAAGAAAUCCUCUGGGUUAAUACCUCGGGGGGAUGAUGGUACCGGAAGAAUAAGCACCGGCUAACUACGUGCCAGCAGCCGCGGUAAUACGUAGGGUGCAAGCGUUAAUCGGAAUUACUGGGCGUAAAGCGUGCGCAGGCGGUUUUGUAAGACGGAUGUGAAAUCCCCGGGCUUAACCUGGGAACUGCAUUCGUGACUGCAAGGCUAGAGUAUGGCAGAGGGGGGUAGAAUUCCACGUGUAGCAGUGAAAUGCGUAGAGAUGUGGAGGAAUACCGAUGGCGAAGGCAGCCCCCUGGGCCAAAUACUGGCGCUCAUGCACGAAAGCGUGGGGAGCAAACAGGAUUCAGAUACCCUGGUAGUCCACGCCCUAAACGAUGUCAACUAGUUGUUGGGGAUUCAUUUCCUUAGUAACGUAGCUAACGCGUGAAGUUGACCGCCUGGGGAGUACGGUCGCAAGAUUAAAACUCAAAGGAAUUGACGGGG
This 572-nucleotide ribosomal RNA is filed under the name uncultured bacterium. Its description in RNAcentral is "partial 16S ribosomal RNA". It matches the Rfam family "Bacterial small subunit ribosomal RNA", at positions 355 to 918 of the family's 1533-position model. The record is from RNAcentral.